Molecule: ribosomal RNA, 253 nt
Filed under: uncultured bacterium
Lineage: Bacteria
Description: partial 16S ribosomal RNA
Rfam family: Bacterial small subunit ribosomal RNA
Source: RNAcentral
UACGUAGGGUGCAAGCGUUAAUCGGAAUUACUGGGCGUAAAGCGUGCGCAGGCGGUUUUGUAAGCCAGAUGUGAAAGCCCCGGGCUUAACCUGGGAAUGGCAUUUGGGACUGCAAGGCUUGAGUGCGGCAGAGGAGACUGGAAUUCCCGGUGUAGCAGUGAAAUGCGUAGAUAUCGGGAGGAAUACCGAUGGCGAAGGCAGGUCUCUGGGCUGACACUGACGCUCAUGCACGAAAGCGUGGGGAGCAAACAGG